This 429-nucleotide ribosomal RNA is filed under the name Acidobacteriota bacterium. Its description in RNAcentral is "Acidobacteria bacterium partial 16S ribosomal RNA". It matches the Rfam family "Bacterial small subunit ribosomal RNA", at positions 355 to 776 of the family's 1533-position model. The record is from RNAcentral. Lineage: Bacteria; Pseudomonadati; Acidobacteriota.
UGGGGAAUUUUGGACAAUGGGGGAAACCCUGAUCCAGCCAUCCCGCGUGUGCGAUGAAGGCCUUCGGGUUGUAAAGCACUUUUGGCAGGAAAGAAACGUCAUGGGUUAAUACCCCGUGAAACUGACGGUACCUGCAGAAUAAGCACCGGCUAACUACGUGCCAGCAGCCGCGGUAAUACGUAGGGUGCAAGCGUUAAUCGGAAUUACUGGGCGUAAAGCGUGCGCAGGCGGUUCGGAAAGAAAGAUGUGAAAUCCCAGAGCUCCACUUUGGAACUGCAUUUUUAACUACCGGGCUAGAGUGUGUCAGAGGGCGGUGGAAUUCCGCGUGUAGCAGUGAAAUGCGUAGAUAUGCGGAGGAACACCGAUGGCGAAGGCAGCCUCCUGGGAUAACACUGACGCUCAUGCACGAAAGCGUGGGGAGCAAACAGG